Molecule: ribosomal RNA, 133 nt
Filed under: uncultured bacterium
Lineage: Bacteria
Description: partial 16S ribosomal RNA
Source: RNAcentral
ACAGAGUUAGCCGGUGCUUCUUCUGUAGGUACCGUCAUUAUCUUCCCUACUGAAAGUGCUUUACAACCCGCAGGCCUUCUUCACACACGCGGCAUUGCUGGAUCAGGCUUUCGCCCAUUGUCCAAUAUUCCCC